RNAcentral lists this ribosomal RNA (423 nucleotides) under uncultured Alphaproteobacteria bacterium. Its description in RNAcentral is "bacterial SSU rRNA". It matches the Rfam family "Bacterial small subunit ribosomal RNA", at positions 44 to 501 of the family's 1533-position model. Lineage: Bacteria; Pseudomonadati; Pseudomonadota; Alphaproteobacteria. The record is from RNAcentral.
AUGCUUUAUACAUGCAAGUCGAACGGAGGCCCUAGCUUGCUAGGUGUCCUUAGUGGCGCACGGGUGAGUAACACGUGGGAACAUACCUUAUAGUACGGAAUAACUGCGGGAAACUGUAGCUAAUACCGUAUAUUCCAGCAAUGGGAAAGAUUUAUCGCUAUAAGAUUGGCCCGCGCAAGAUUAGCUUGUUGGUGAGGUAAAAGCUCACCAAGGCAUCGAUCUUUAGCUGGUUUGAGAGGACGAUCAGCCACACUGGGACUGAGACACGGCCCAGACUCCUACGGGAGGCAGCAGUAGGGAAUAUUGGACAAUGGGGGCAACCCUGAUCCAGCAAUGCAGCGUGAGUGACGAAGGCCUUAGGGUUGUAAAACUCUUUCAUCGGUGAGGAUAAUGACAGUAGCCGAAGAAGAAGGACCGGCUAAU